Molecule: ribosomal RNA, 434 nt
Filed under: uncultured bacterium
Lineage: Bacteria
Description: partial 16S ribosomal RNA
Rfam family: Bacterial small subunit ribosomal RNA
Source: RNAcentral
AGCGAACGCUGGCGGCAGGCCUAACACAUGCAAGUCGAACGAACCUUUCGGGGUUAGUGGCGGACGGGUGAGUAACACGUGGGAACGUGCCUUUAGGUUCGGAAUAACUCAGGGAAACUUGUGCUAAUACCGAAUGCGCCCUUCGGGGGAAAGAUUAAUCGCCUUUAGAGCGGCCCGCGUCUGAUUAGCUAGUUGGUUGAGGUAAUGGCUCACCAAGGCGACGAUCAGUAGCUGGUCUGAGAGGAUGAUCAGCCACAUUGGGACUGAGACACGGCCCAAACUCCUACGGGAGGCAGCAGUGGGGAAUCUUGCGCAAUGGGCGAAAGCCUGACGCAGCCAUGCCGCGUGAAUGAUGAAGGUCUUAGGAUUGUAAAAUUCUUUCACCGGGGACGAUAAUGACGGUACCCGGAGAAGAAGCCCCGGCUAACUUCGUG